RNAcentral lists this non-coding RNA (89 nucleotides) under Deltaproteobacteria bacterium. RNAcentral's name for it is "ZTP sequence". It matches the Rfam family "ZMP/ZTP riboswitch aptamer (pfl RNA motif)". Rfam says of the family: Previously known as pfl RNA. ZMP is also known as AICAR. Lineage: Bacteria; Pseudomonadati; Myxococcota; Myxococcia. The record is from RNAcentral.
AGAAUCCUCCGUUACUGACGGAAUCAAGGUGGGGGACCACCGGGGAGCGGGGGACUAUAUCGGAUCUGUCGACCGUCUGGGCACCGCGC